CAUUUCAGGCUUAGUGUGGAAACCCAAGUGAUGAAUACACAGACCUCAGAAACACCUUGAAACUUUUAAAAUGCAGCCACAGAAAGGAAGGGGAGAAGGAAGGUUCUUUGGACAAGAUGCAGACACCCAGCUCCCUACCGUGCCUGCUUCACCUGCUCUGCAAUCUCGAAAGCCACCUCUUCCCCUAGAGAAGGGCCAACAAGCCUCCACAGCCUCAAAGGUUAUCUUAUGUCAGCUUCGACAGAAAUAAACAGAGGUGCCAACUUGCAGGUCCAAACUCCCCUUCACCAAGAAGUGCCAGCCCAAUGAAUCUUAGAAGACUUGAGCAGCAGCUAUCCUCUGCCAAAUAAAUUUCCCUGACAGCUGAAUAGUUCUACUUUAUCAAGGAACAGGAAGCCAUUCGCCUGUCUUGAGUCCCCUUGAUGGAAAUGCAUAAGGACAGU
Molecule: long non-coding RNA, 443 nt
Organism: Aquila chrysaetos chrysaetos
Lineage: Eukaryota; Metazoa; Chordata; Aves; Accipitriformes; Accipitridae
Exons: 3
Source: RefSeq, a predicted model, not a curated record